CACACAAUUAUUUUCUCUCUCCUUCUUUUUCCCCAAAUAUUUCGGCCUCCCUCCCUUUUCUCUCUACUUUUUUAUUCUUUCUUCUCUCUCACUGUUUGUUCUCCUCCUCCUCACUAGCCGCGACUCCUCGCCGCCUCUGUUCCGUCGCCGCCUUAGUGCUGCGUGCCUUCCUCCACUACAAGAAAAUGCUAAAUCAACGACUGCUUAACAGCAACGAUCAGCAAAACCGUCAUUCUUACUAAAACAGCGUCCGCGGUAAGCCAUCGGUGAACACCGACUGCUUGUAAAGGAUACAACGGCGGUUUAACAGUCGUUGAAAAACAACGACAGUUUCAAGUCGUCGUUAAGUUGAUUAAUGUGCCUUUGAAAUUUUGUUUACCUAAGGCGACGGUCUUAAACGGUCGGUGAUGGAAGGAAAAAGGGGGUAACAUAAAGUGGCCCUUUUCAGCCGAGUUUAUUUCAACGCAACUUAAAAGAGAGAAGUUGCCUCUUUCAGUCGGCAAAUUGAAGAAGGCAAGAAGCGAUUGACGGCUGACCUCAUUUUCUCUCCGCCUCUUUGCCGCCGCGACAUUGCAGGCUGAAGCAGUCACAACUCCCUCCUUUUUCCUGUUCUUCAGUGUGAUCUAUUUUAGCUUGAGGCGCAUGUGGAGGCAAAGGUCGCUGCACAGAUGGAAGAGGUGGAGGCAAGGAACUCGACAACUACUUUAUUUCCCGACACCGGGAUCUAUUUUGCGUGCAUAUAUUAAAUCUAGCUUGAGGCGCAUGUGGAGGCAAAGGUCGCUGCACAGAUGGAAGAGGUGGAGGCAAGGAACUCGAGUACUACUUUAUUUCCCGACACCGGGAUCUAUUUUGCGUACAUAUAUUAAAUCUAGGUAGUUUGUCCAACUAUAGACAUUUAGUGUCUAUAUUUUAUCGGCACCUAGCUUAUUAGUUUCUAGAUUUGCCGAUAUAUAUUUUUGUAGAACCCGACUUCUACUUUAUUUCCCGACAUCGGAUCUAUUUUGUGUACAUAAGUUUAAUCUAUUUCAUGUAAUUAUAUAAGUAUCUACGCAAAUUAUUGUA
Beta vulgaris subsp. vulgaris (sugar beet) is the source of this 1062-nucleotide long non-coding RNA. RefSeq lists it as uncharacterized. Lineage: Eukaryota; Viridiplantae; Streptophyta; Magnoliopsida; Caryophyllales; Amaranthaceae. The record is from RefSeq and is a predicted model, not a curated record. The transcript is spliced from 4 exons.